UGGAUCCAGACUUUGAUUAUGGCUCAGGACGAACGCUGGCGGCGUGCCUAAUACAUGCAAGUCGAGCGAGCUUGCCUAGAUGAUUUUAGUGCUUGCACCAAAUGAAACUAGAUACAAGCGAGCGGCGGACGGGUGAGUAACACGUGGGUAACCUGCCCAAGAGACUGGGAUAACACCUGGAAACAGAUGCUAAUACCGGAUAACAACACUAGACGCAUGUCUAGAGUUUGAAAGAUGGUUCUGCUAUCACUCUUGGAUGGACCUGCGGUGCAUUAGCUAGUUGGUAAGGUAACGGCUUACCAAGGCAAUGAUGCAUAGCCGAGUUGAGAGACUGAUCGGCCACAUUGGGACUGAGACACGGCCCAAACUCCUACGGGAGGCAGCAGUAGGGAAUCUUCCACAAUGGACGAAAGUCUGAUGGAGCAACGCCGCGUGAGUGAAGAAGGGUUUCGGCUCGUAAAGCUCUGUUGGUAGUGAAGAAAGAUAGAGGUAGUAACUGGCCUUUAUUUGACGGUAAUUACUUAGAUAGUCACGGCUAACUACGUGCCAGCAGCCGCGGUAAUACGUAGGUGGCAAGCGUUGUCCGGAUUUAUUGGGCGUAAAGCGAGUGCAGGCGGUUCAAUAAGUCUGAUGUGAAAGCCUUCGGCUCAACCGGAGAAUUGCAUCAGAAACUGUUGAACUUGAGUGCAGAAGAGGAGAGUGGAACUCCAUGUGUAGCGGUGGAAUGCGUAGAUAUAUGGAAGAACACCAGUGGCGAAGGCGGCUCUCUGGUCUGCAACUGACGCUGAGGCUCGAAAGCAUGGGUAGCGAACAGGAUUAGAUACCCUGGUAGUCCAUGCCGUAAACGAUGAGUGCUAAGUGUUGGGAGGUUUCCGCCUCUCAGUGCUGCAGCUAACGCAUCAAGCACUCCGCCUGGGGAGUACGACCGCAAGGUUGCAACUCAAAUGAAUUGACGGA
RNAcentral lists this ribosomal RNA (957 nucleotides) under uncultured Bacillota bacterium. RNAcentral's name for it is "bacterial SSU rRNA". It matches the Rfam family "Bacterial small subunit ribosomal RNA", at positions 1 to 917 of the family's 1533-position model. The record is from RNAcentral. Lineage: Bacteria; Bacillati; Bacillota.